This 253-nucleotide ribosomal RNA is filed under the name uncultured prokaryote. Its description in RNAcentral is "partial 16S ribosomal RNA". It matches the Rfam family "Bacterial small subunit ribosomal RNA", at positions 525 to 777 of the family's 1533-position model. The record is from RNAcentral.
ACAGAGGUGGCAAGCGUUGUUCGGAAUUACUGGGCGUAAAGGGCGCGUAGGCGGUCUUGUAAGUCUUGUGUGAAAUCCCUCGGCUUAACUGAGGAACUGCACGGGAUACUGCAUGACUUGAGAUCGGGAGAGGGAAGCGGAAUUCCGGGUGUAGCGGUGAAAUGCGUAGAUAUCCGGAGGAACACCGGUGGCGAAGGCGGCUACCUGGCCCAAUACUGACACUCAGGUGCGACAGCGUGGGGAGCAAACAGGA